Molecule: ribosomal RNA, 468 nt
Filed under: uncultured bacterium
Lineage: Bacteria
Description: partial 16S ribosomal RNA
Rfam family: Bacterial small subunit ribosomal RNA
Source: RNAcentral
GACGAACGCUGGCGGCGUGCUUAACACAUGCAAGUCGAACGGAAAGGCCCUGCUUUUGUGGGGUGCUCGAGUGGCGAACGGGUGAGUAACACGUGAGUAACCUGCCCUUGACUUUGGGAUAACUUCAGGAAACUGGGGCUAAUACCGGAUAGGAGCUCCUGCUGCAUGGUGGGGGUUGGAAAGUUUCGGCGGUUGGGGAUGGACUCGCGGCUUAUCAGCUUGUUGGUGGGGUAGUGGCUUACCAAGGCUUUGACGGGUAGCUGGCCUGAGAGGGUGACCUGCCACAUUGGGACUGAGAUACGGCCCAGACUCCUACGGGAGGCAGCAGUGGGGAAUAUUGCACAAUGGGCGGAAGCCUGAUGCAGCAACGCCGCGUGCGGGAUGACGGCCUUCGGGUUGUAAACCGCUUUCGCCUGUGACGAAGCGUGAGUGACGGUAAUGGGUAAAGAAGCACCGGCUAACUACGUG